Molecule: ribosomal RNA, 274 nt
Filed under: uncultured bacterium
Lineage: Bacteria
Description: partial 16S ribosomal RNA
Rfam family: Bacterial small subunit ribosomal RNA
Source: RNAcentral
AUACGGAGGGUGCAAGCGUUAAUCGGAAUUACUGGGCGUAAAGCGCGCGUAGGCGGCUUAUUAAGUCAGAUGUGAAAUCCCCGGGCUCAACCUGGGAACUGCAUCUGAUACUGGUAAGCUAGAGUUUUGGAGAGGGAAGUAGAAUUUCAGGUGUAGCGGUGAAAUGCAUAGAGAUCUGAAGGAAUACCAGUGGCGAAGGCGACUUCCUGGCCAAAAACUGACGCUGAGGUGCGAAAGCGUGGGUAGCAAACGGGAUUAGAUACCCUAGUAGUCC